AUGCCCCCAAAUUGUUUAGCAUUCAGCAAAACGCCUUCAUUAAAGGGAGGAACAUUAUGGAUGGGAUUUUAUCCUUGCAUGAAGUCAUGCAUUAUACCCAUGUUAAAAAAAGGACGGGUAUUGUUCUUAAGCUCGACUUCGAAAAAGCUUACGACAAAGUCAAUUGGGACUUCCUUCUUGAUUGUCAUAGCAAAAGAGGGUUUAGCCCUAAGUGGUGUGGGUGGGUAUCUCAGAUUCUUCGAGAUGACACGGUUAGUGUCAAGAUUAAUGAUGAACUUGGGCCCUAUAUUAAAAGCGCCAAAGGGGUGCGUCAGGGUGACCCUCAUUCCCCUUUCCUGUUCAAUAUAG
This 348-nucleotide ribosomal RNA is filed under the name Triticum aestivum (bread wheat). RNAcentral describes it as "partial small subunit ribosomal RNA". The record is from RNAcentral. Lineage: Eukaryota; Viridiplantae; Streptophyta; Magnoliopsida; Poales; Poaceae.